This 470-nucleotide ribosomal RNA is filed under the name Acanthamoeba genotype T4. Its description in RNAcentral is "SSU rRNA". It matches the Rfam family "Eukaryotic small subunit ribosomal RNA", at positions 739 to 1097 of the family's 1831-position model. Lineage: Eukaryota; Discosea; Longamoebia; Acanthamoebidae. The record is from RNAcentral.
UGGCCCAGAUCGUUUACCGUGAAAAAAUUAGAGUGUUCAAAGCAGGCAGAUCCAAUUUUCUGCCACCGAAUACAUUAGCAUGGGAUAAUGGAAUAGGACCCUGUCCUCCUAUUUUCAGUUGGUUUUGGCAGCGCGAGGACUAGGGUAAUGAUUAAUAGGGAUAGUUGGGGGCAUUAAUAUUUAAUUGUCAGAGGUGAAAUUCUUGGAUUUAUGAAAGAUUAACUUCUGCGAAAGCAUCUGCCAAGGAUGUUUUCAUUAAUCAAGAACGAAAGUUAGGGGAUCGAAGACGAUCAGAUACCGUCGUAGUCUUAACCAUAAACGAUGCCGACCAGCGAUUAGGAGACGUUGAAUACAAAACACCACCAUCGGCGCGGUCGUCCUUGGCGUCUGUCCCUUUCAACGGGGGCAGGCGCGAGGGCGGUUUAGCCCGGUGGCACCGGUGAAUGACUCCCCUAGCAGCUUGUGAGAAA